GCAAGUUAACCAAGAAAAGCAGUGUGGUGCCUGUGGAAUCAAAGGAGGCAAAGCCUUUUCUUCGUAAGGGCUCGGGUACUGGAUCUGGUCAUAGUCCAGUCAUAAAGGCCAAAGUUUCACCCCUGCCUGAAAAAUCUUUGAGGGAAUCUACAGACUUCGUUCAAGUUGAGGAGAAUGAGAUGGCCUCUGUUGCUUCUGGUCCUCUUAAUCAACUGCAAGCCUGAAAAAUCUUUGCGGGAAUCUACGGACUUCGUUCAGGUUGAGGAGAAUGAGAUGGCCUCUGUUGCUUCUGCUCCUCUUAAUCAACUGCAGGACAGGGAUCUUGAGGAGUUAAAAAUCCAUGAAGCUGAAGU
RNAcentral lists this long non-coding RNA (353 nucleotides) under Nicotiana benthamiana. RNAcentral's name for it is "long non-coding RNA (NBEN_LNC038936)". The record is from RNAcentral. Lineage: Eukaryota; Viridiplantae; Streptophyta; Magnoliopsida; Solanales; Solanaceae.